This 305-nucleotide ribosomal RNA is filed under the name uncultured bacterium. Its description in RNAcentral is "bacterial SSU rRNA". It matches the Rfam family "Bacterial small subunit ribosomal RNA", at positions 335 to 638 of the family's 1533-position model. The record is from RNAcentral.
AACCUACGGGACGCAGCAGUGAGGAAUAUUGGUCAAUGGGCGAGAGCCUGAACCAGCCAAGUCGCGUGAGGGAGUACUGCCCUAUGGGUUGUAAACUUCUUUUAUAUGGGAAUAAAAUGUUCCACGUGUGGGAUUUUGUAUGUACCAUAUGAAUAAGGGUCGGCUAACUCCGUGCCAGCAGCCGCGGUAAUACGGAGGAUCCGAGCGUUAUCCGGAUUUAUUGGGUUUAAAGGGAGCGUAGGUGGAUUGUUAAGUCAGUUGUGAAAGUUUGCGGCUCAACCGUAAAAUUGCAGUUGAAACUGGAG